CGCUUACCUUUCGCCCACUGCAGGGAUCCUUCCUUUAAAUCACUCUUACAAUAGAGGACGGAGGAAAGAGAGCUGUUUUUCUCAAUCCCACCAGCCGGGCUUUUACAGGCCAUGCUGAAGGCACCGCUCCUUAAGAACUUUGUGCCGUAGCGUCAGCGAUUCAGAUCCUCCUGGACCUCCCUUAUCGCACAGCAGCAGGCAGCUCGCUCUCCUCGCCGGGGACCAGGUUGGGAAAUCCUCAUUCAGACUCCCACUGGCGACUUCCUUGAGAUUCUGCUCUCCAUUGGCAUGGCAGCAUUUCCUGGCCCUCAUCCAGCUGUGCUCCCGGGGUGCAGACUCUUCUCCCUCCUCCUCCUCACUGCCCCACACCGCCCAUCGCUGUGCCCUGCAGGUUGGGGAGGUCCCACUGCUGGGACGCACAGCGCAGGCGAGCUCCGGCACCUCUGCACUCCCAUCACCCCGCGCCACAGGCAU
RNAcentral lists this long non-coding RNA (474 nucleotides) under Gallus gallus (chicken). The record is from RNAcentral. Lineage: Eukaryota; Metazoa; Chordata; Aves; Galliformes; Phasianidae.